Helianthus annuus (common sunflower) is the source of this 1363-nucleotide long non-coding RNA. RefSeq lists it as uncharacterized. The transcript has 7 exons. Lineage: Eukaryota; Viridiplantae; Streptophyta; Magnoliopsida; Asterales; Asteraceae. The record is from RefSeq and is a predicted model, not a curated record.
CUUGCUGGAUAGUAGUGUCUGCGGAUAGUUUUAACCGAUCAUCUAUCGGAGAAACCGUCUAUCGGAGAAACCGUUGUUCAUCCAUUGUUGACCUCUCUAAUGCAAUCUGCUCAGGCAACAAACAACCAUAAACGCUUUUCCCAUUCUGAGGUUCCAUUAUGGUGAUCUCGGUUUUAGAGUCCACUUCUCCAUUCACCGUGUCACUACCAAUCUCAGCCACCACCGUCGAAGAGUUUUAUAGAAACUGGAAUUAAUCACUUGCUUUUAGUAAUGUGGCCCAUUGGUUACUCAAGCUUUUAGAAAGAAAUUUCAAAUGUAAUCAGCCUUGAGGGUUUCCAUGGAGACCUCUUUAAAGUCGCAGAUUACAGAUGUAGGGAGGCUGAUGAAAAUCAAAGAGUGGUUUGAUAGAUAUAAAAUAAGUUGACUGGGAGUUUGAGGAAGAUAAUGAUGAAAUGCUUUUAGUUUUGGGGAACAACUAGAAAGGAAGGAGAUGAAAGCUUCUUCAGAAUCUUUAGCGACUCAGGACUCUUCGGCUAUCGGUUAAUCGUUGUUUCGGUACCGCCAGAAUGCUAUAAACUCACUUUUGGUCGUGUGGAGGGAAACAAGCUUCAGGAAUUACAAUCUGAGAGGACACAAGAGCAUAACUCAAGUUAUGAAAUAUAUGUGAGAAUUCAACUAUGGGUAGAAACAAAUGAAUUCUGCCCAGAUGGCGAUAUCCCCAUUAGAAGAACUACCAAAAAAAUAUUUUACACACGAAUUCACUAAAAAGAUCAGAUGUAUAUGGCGUGAUAAUGGUGGUCGUGAGGUGGAGUGGUUUGGGUAAUGGGUCAACACAUGCUCGGGUCUAAAACAAUACUUUUUAAUGCAUGUGGAAAUGGACGAGCCGGAAUGGUUUGUGUGGAAGCAUGUUUUAUCCAUGAAGAGUCAAACCCCAGCAACCUGGUUCUAUUCCAGCUCGUGAUUUUUUCAAUGUACAAAUUGAAACUGGAAAAUUGGACAAAUGCGUAAGCUAAUACAACCAUAAGCUGUGUGGUACGAGUUAACAAAAGCAACCUAUUGUUUCUGGAUUCAUCAUUGAGAUUUGGACAAACAACACCUGUCUUUGCAUACUGUGUAAUGGCACAUGGCACCAUGGAAGAAAAAGAUUUAUAAGCGUCAGGUAUAUCCUAUCUAUGUAGAGUUUUCAAUAUCGACCCAUUCACAUAUGCAUAUUGAAUCGGUUAUUUCAGGUUAUGUUGUAUCGUUUACGGGUCAAAUAUGCAAAUAAAAAACAAUUAGCUUAAGGGGAGAAAUUUGCUUGAAGUGUAUUUCAAAUACAUCAAACAACCUAUUCAUGUUAAUGAAAAUCUAGAUAUUGAAUAUG